UCGAGAGGCUUCGGCAAUGGGGGAAACCCUGACCGAGCGACGCCGCGUGAAGGAUGAAGUAUUUCGGUAUGUAAACUUCGAAAGAAUAGGAAGAAUAAAUGACGGUACUAUUUAUAAGGUCCGGCUAACUACGUGCCAGCAGCCGCGGUAAUACGUAGGGACCAAGCGUUGUUCGGAUUUACUGGGCGUAAAGGGCGCGUAGGCGGCAAUUCAAGUCAUCUGUGAAAUCUCCGGGCUUAACUCGGAACGGUCAGAUGAUACUGCUUUGCUAGAGUGCAGAAGGGGCAAUCGGAAUUCUUGGUGUAGCGGUGAAAUGCGUAGAUAUCAAGAGGAACACCUGAGGUGAAGACGGGUUGCUGGGCUGACACUGACGCUGAGGCGCGAAAGCCAGGGGAGCAAACGGGAUUAGAUACCCAUGUAGUCCCUGAGCGGGCUGGCAAGGCGCAU
RNAcentral lists this ribosomal RNA (447 nucleotides) under uncultured bacterium. RNAcentral describes it as "bacterial SSU rRNA". It matches the Rfam family "Bacterial small subunit ribosomal RNA", at positions 355 to 825 of the family's 1533-position model. The record is from RNAcentral.